GCCGAGCUACGUGAACAAAUACAGCAUAACUGUAAAGCACUAUAAUCAUUAAUAUGAUUUGUAAUUACUCUAAAAUAAUACACGGCUCCGUGUUGUUAUGUGUUGACUUAGAAGACACCUAUAUUUAUUUCUUGUCUGCUCAGAUUAAUUGUAAAUCCUAACGUUUUCAGGUGUGACUAACGGGGGAUCCGCUCCGUCCUUCUUACCGGCCGGUGCCGUAGCCCCGCCCACCUUCAAUCGCUCUCUCUCCGUACGGGACCGCAAUGAUUUAAAAGUUCAGGAAUCCCACGUGACGUCACCGCGGGGGUGAUGUAAUGCUUCUGUAAAUAGAACGUAUUGUAAUCUCGCUCCAGUCCAACGUGGUUCCUCCGCGGAGCGCCGCUCGUCCCGCACUGCUUGUAGGUAAGUCUCCGCAGUUAACUUUCAUUCACAAAACUUUCGGCUCCGCGGCCGCCGCGCUCCGCACGCGGAGCCGCAGCCCGCCGGCGCCGGGUUCCGCCAGCGUCUCGCGUCUCUCGAUGGCACCAGACAGUAAAGGGGGGACGUUUUUGGCUAGCUGUCUCGGUGAAGUCCCAUCACCCGGCGGACGGCUUGUGUGUGACAUGAAUGACAAACAGGACAGGCCAUAUGUGUGCGGCGCCCCGGGCUGCUCUCAGAGCUUCCACCUGGAGGAGCAUCUGAUCGUCCACAGCCACAAGCAUGAGAUGACGCUCAAGUUCCCCUCCAUCAAGAUGGACACGGCUUUUACAGGUGAGACUAGGGAGAGCUCUGUGUCCACAUCAGCACCCGCUCAGUAUCGUACGGCCUGAAUUAUAGAGGGAUAUAUAUUUUAUACAAU
RNAcentral lists this long non-coding RNA (838 nucleotides) under Betta splendens (Siamese fighting fish). RNAcentral describes it as "lncRNA (ENSBSLG00000010174.1)". Lineage: Eukaryota; Metazoa; Chordata; Actinopteri; Anabantiformes; Osphronemidae. The record is from RNAcentral.